Molecule: long non-coding RNA, 368 nt
Organism: Magnolia sinica
Lineage: Eukaryota; Viridiplantae; Streptophyta; Magnoliopsida; Magnoliales; Magnoliaceae
Exons: 3
Source: RefSeq, a predicted model, not a curated record
GGUAAGAUCAUUGAUAUGCUCAUUCGACGUGAGGGGUGUCAUCAAGAAAUAUGACAGUCCCGAACAAAUUCUUGAAGAAUUCUUUCAUUUAAGACUUGAGUUCUAUGUAAAGAGAAAGAAAGUAAUGUUGGAUAAUCUUGAAAUAAAGCUGUUGAGAUUGUCUAACAAAGUCAGAUUCAUCAUUGGGGUGGUAGAAGGAGAGAUUAUUGUGAGUAACAGGAAGAGAGCAGAUCUGGUCCUCGAGUUGCAGUAGAAGGGUUUCACACCGUUUCCUAAAACCAAAGGCGUUGAUACCAGCGAGGCAAUGGAAACAGAAGAAAAUGAAGAGACACCGGAGGUGGGAAUAGUUGUAAGAGCAAGUGAUUAUG